RNAcentral lists this ribosomal RNA (493 nucleotides) under uncultured Paenibacillus sp. RNAcentral describes it as "bacterial SSU rRNA". It matches the Rfam family "Bacterial small subunit ribosomal RNA", at positions 28 to 507 of the family's 1533-position model. The record is from RNAcentral. Lineage: Bacteria; Bacillati; Bacillota; Bacilli; Caryophanales; Paenibacillaceae.
AGAGAGACGCUGGCGGCGUGCCUAAUACAUGCAAGUCGAGCGGAUUUGUUCCUUCGGGGACAAGUUAGCGGCGGACGGGUGAGUAACACGUAGGUAACCUGCCUAUAAGAUCGGGAUAACUAUCGGAAACGAUAGCUAAGACCGGAUAAUUGGUUUUCUCGCAUGAGAGAACUAUGAAACACGGAGCAAUCUGUGGCUUAUAGAUGGGCCUGCGGCGCAUUAGCUAGUUGGUAGGGUAAUGGCCUACCAAGGCGACGAUGCGUAGCCGACCUGAGAGGGUGAACGGCCACACUGGGACUGAGACACGGCCCAGACUCCUACGGGAGGCAGCAGUAGGGAAUCUUCCGCAAUGGACGCAAGUCUGACGGAGCAACGCCGCGUGAGUGAUGAAGGUUUUCGGAUCGUAAAGCUCUGUUGCCCUAGACGAAUAGCAAGGCGAGUAACUGCGCUUUGUGUGACGGUAUAGGAGAAGAAAGCCCCGGCUAACUACGUG